Cucurbita maxima (winter squash) is the source of this 378-nucleotide long non-coding RNA. RefSeq lists it as uncharacterized. Lineage: Eukaryota; Viridiplantae; Streptophyta; Magnoliopsida; Cucurbitales; Cucurbitaceae. The record is from RefSeq and is a predicted model, not a curated record. The transcript has 3 exons.
AAAGAUCGGAGUUCAAAUAAUAAGGUACAGCUUUUAGGAGGAGAUUGUUAAAUAAAAGCUCUGCCUUAUUUAGUUAGGUUUGUAAAAACAUAUGAGUUCACGCGAAUGGAGGAGCGUGAUUCUAGGGGCCAUUGUUUUGGCAGAGUGGCGGAGUCUUCGUCCACUUAUUCUAUUUGUGUAUAUUUGGUUUUUCUAUUUUUGUAAUUAGAUUUAUUAUUUAAACCAUUCAACGGAUGUAAAAUAAUAUAUUGAGUCUUCAGCAUUACCAGCGAAUCUCUCUCUCUCUCUCCUUUUACUUCCGCUAAUUUUUCCUUCGAAGAAACCUUCGGCCAAUUUUUUUUCGUCGACAUCCGAUUUGCCAGAGGUAAUAGAGCCUCG